AGAGUUUGAUCCUGGCUCAGGACGAACGCUGGCGGCGCGCCUAACACAUGCAAGUCGAACGAGCGAGAGAGAGCUUGCUUUCUCGAGCGAGUGGCGAACGGGUGAGUAACGCGUGAGGAACCUGCCUCAAAGAGGGGGACAACAGUUGGAAACGACUGCUAAUACCGCAUAAGCCCACAGCUCGGCAUCGAGCAGAGGGAAAAGGAGCAAUCCGCUUUGAGAUGGCCUCGCGUCCGAUUAGCUAGUUGGUGAGGUAAUGGCCCACCAAGGCGACGAUCGGUAGCCGGACUGAGAGGUUGAACGGCCACAUUGGGACUGAGACACGGCCCAGACUCCUACGGGAGGCAGCAGUGGGGAAUAUUGCACAAUGGGGGAAACCCUGAUGCAGCGACGCCGCGUGAAGGAAGAAGGUCUUCAGAUUGUAAACUCCUGUUGUUGAGGAAGAUAAUGACGGUACUCAACAAGGAAGUGACGGCUAACUACGUGCCAGCAGCCGCGGUAAAACGUAGGUCACAAGCGUUGUCCGGAAUUACUGGGUGUAAAGGGAGCGCAGGCGGGAAGACAAGUUGGAAGUGAAAUCUAUGGGCUCAACCCAUAAACUGCUUUCAAAACUGUUUUUCCUGAGUAGUGCAGAGGUAGGCGGAAUUCCCGGUGUAGCGGUGGAAUGCGUAGAUAUCGGGAGGAACACCAGUGGCGAAGGCGGCCUACUGGGCACCAACUGACGCUGAGGCUCGAAAGUGUGGGUAGCANACAGGAUUAGAUACCCUGGUAGUCCACACCGUAAACGAUGAUUACUAGGUGUUGGAGGAUUGACCCCUUCAGUGCCGCAGUUAACACAAUAAGUAAUCCACCUGGGGAGUACGACCGCAAGGUUGAAACUCAAAGGAAUUGACGGGGGCCCGCACAAGCAGUGGAGUAUGUGGUUUAAUUCGACGCAACGCGAAGAACCUUACCAAGUCUUGACAUCCUGCGACGGACAUAGAAAUAUGUCUUUCCUUCGGGACGCAGAGACAGGUGGUGCAUGGUUGUCGUCAGCUCGUGUCGUGAGAUGUUGGGUUAAGUCCCGCAACGAGCGCAACCCUUACUGUCAGUUACUACGCAAGAGGACUCUGGCAGGACUGCCGUUGACAAAACGGAGGAAGGUGGGGAUGACGUCAAAUCAUCAUGCCCUUUAUGACUUGGGCUACACACGUACUACAAUGGCGUUAAACAAAGAGAAGCAAGACCGCGAGGUGGAGCAAAACUCAGAAACAACGUCCCAGUUCGGACUGCAGGCUGCAACUCGCCUGCACGAAGUCGGAAUUGCUAGUAAUCGUGGAUCAGCAUGCCACGGUGAAUACGUUCNCCGGGCCCUUGUACACACCGCCCGU
RNAcentral lists this ribosomal RNA (1370 nucleotides) under uncultured bacterium. Its description in RNAcentral is "16S ribosomal RNA". It matches the Rfam family "Bacterial small subunit ribosomal RNA". The record is from RNAcentral.